UGGGGAAUUUUGGACAAUGGGCGCAAGCCUGAUCCAGCCAUGCCGCGUGCGGGAAGAAGGCCUUCGGGUUGUAAACCGCUUUUGUCAGGGAAGAAAUCUUCUGAGUUAAUACCUCGGGAGGAUGACGGUACCUGAAGAAUAAGCACCGGCUAACUACGUGCCAGCAGCCGCGGUAAUACGUAGGGUGCAAGCGUUAAUCGGAAUUACUGGGCGUAAAGCGUGCGCAGGCGGUUUUGUAAGACAGAGGUGAAAUCCCCGGGCUCAACCUGGGAACUGCCUUUGUGACUGCAAGGCUUGAGUGCGGCAGAGGGGGAUGGAAUUCCGCGUGUAGCAGUGAAAUGCGUAGAUAUGCGGAGGAACACCGAUGGCGAAGGCAAUCCCCUGGGCCUGCACUGACGCUCAUGCACGAAAGCGUGGGGAGCAAACAGGAUUAGAUACCCUGGUAGUCCACGCCCUAAAACGAUGUCAACUGGUUGUUGGGAAGGUUCCUUCUCAGUAACGUAGCUAACGCGUGAAGUUGACCGCCUGGGGAGUACGGCCGCAAGGUUGAGACUUAAAGGAAUUGACGGGGUCAUAGCUGUUUCCUG
This 587-nucleotide ribosomal RNA is filed under the name uncultured bacterium. RNAcentral's name for it is "partial 16S ribosomal RNA". It matches the Rfam family "Bacterial small subunit ribosomal RNA", at positions 355 to 1376 of the family's 1533-position model. The record is from RNAcentral.